RNAcentral lists this ribosomal RNA (761 nucleotides) under Kaemis aeruginosus. Its description in RNAcentral is "partial large subunit ribosomal RNA". The stretch from base 462 to 761 matches the Rfam family "Eukaryotic large subunit ribosomal RNA", at positions 665 to 931 of the family's 3401-position model. The record is from RNAcentral. Lineage: Eukaryota; Metazoa; Arthropoda; Arachnida; Araneae; Dysderidae.
UCUGGCGGGGGGAUUCAGUUAGGAGAGGCGGCGGCGACGUCGGUCGAAUAAACGGACCCUUAUCCGGGGCCGGGCCGACUUCGCGGUCGACGUUUCACCUGACGCAUUUCCUCCCGCACUAAGGACGCCGCAGCCGGUUGGGUAGCUGCGUGAGUCGGCCAUGAGGACGUGCGACGGCAGGUGGCCGGUGGCGUCGCCUAGGCUUCGUCGCCGGUUGUUAGCCAGCUCGUCCGUGGCGCGACACCCGACCGAGGUUGAACGGUUCCCGCAUGGGAACUCGCCGCCCCCUUCCCCUCUCGGGGGGGAGCGGGCGUUCCGGCAGGCAAAUCGCGGCGUUCGCCACGUCACUCCCCGUAGUGGCCGGUGCGCCGAGGUAGCUGUUGGCUGGAAACGUCCCGCCGGGGUGCAGGCGGCUAGCGGCGAGUAGGUCGGUCACCCACCCGACCCGUCUUGAAACACGGACCAAGGAGUCUAACAUGUGCGCGAGUCACGGGGUCUUGAUUAGGCCCAGAGGCGCAAUGAAAGUGAAGGUCGACCUCGACGUCGGCUGUGUUGGGAUUUCCGGCCCCUCGGGGCUGGGAAGCACCAACGACCCGUCCUCUCCGAUUCAUCGGUUGGGCGGAGUCUGAGCGUACACGUUGGGACCCGAAAGAUGGUGAACUAUGCCUGGGCAGGACGAAGCCAGAGGAAACUCUGGUGGAGGUCCGUAGCGGUUCUGACGUGCAAAUCGAUCGUCAGACCCGGGUAUAGGGGCGAAAGAC